GCUGGGUGCGGUGGUGCACGCCUGUAAUCCCAAUGGCUUGGGAGGCUGAGGCAGGAGGAUUGUGAGUUCAAAGCCAGCCUCAGCAACUAUGCAAGGCCCUCAGCAACUAGCGAGACCCUGUCUCAA
This 126-nucleotide small RNA is filed under the name Marmota monax (woodchuck). The record is from RNAcentral. Lineage: Eukaryota; Metazoa; Chordata; Mammalia; Rodentia; Sciuridae.